UGCAGCUUUGUCAAAUUCAGUGUUUCCUCUUCAGUGGACAACACUGGCCAAAAUGGCUGCAACAGCGAAUAAGUAGUUCAUGGGACCCACGUUCUUCUUAAGUGGAUACUGGGGACAGAAAAUACCUACGUACAAAC
Triplophysa rosa is the source of this 137-nucleotide small nucleolar RNA. RefSeq annotates it as small nucleolar RNA SNORA5. Lineage: Eukaryota; Metazoa; Chordata; Actinopteri; Cypriniformes; Nemacheilidae. The transcript has a single exon. The record is from RefSeq and is a predicted model, not a curated record.